This 431-nucleotide ribosomal RNA is filed under the name uncultured Paracoccaceae bacterium. RNAcentral describes it as "bacterial SSU rRNA". It matches the Rfam family "Bacterial small subunit ribosomal RNA", at positions 29 to 505 of the family's 1533-position model. Lineage: Bacteria; Pseudomonadati; Pseudomonadota; Alphaproteobacteria; Rhodobacterales; Paracoccaceae. The record is from RNAcentral.
AACGAACGCUGGCGGCAGGCCUAACACAUGCAAGUCGAGCGAAACCUUCGGGUUUAGCGGCGGACGGGUUAGUAACGCGUGGGAACGUACCCUUUACUGCGGAAUAGCCACUGGAAACGGUGAGUAAUACCGCAUACGCCCUUCGGGGGAAAGAUUUAUCGGUAAAGGAUCGGCCCGCGUUAGAUUAGGUAGUUGGUGGGGUAAUGGCCUACCAAGCCUACGAUCUAUAGCUGGUUUGAGAGGAUGAUCAGCAACACUGGGACUGAGACACGGCCCAGACUCCUACGGGAGGCAGCAGUGGGGAAUCUUCGGCAAUGGGGGCAACCCUGACCGAGCCAUGCCGCGUGAGUGAUGAAGGCCUUAGGGUCGUAAAGCUCUUUUGCCAGAGAUGAUAAUGACAGUAUCUGGUAAAGAAACCCCGGCUAACUCCG